UGUUAACCAGGUUCAUAUUCUUCCCAUCUUCUCCUACCUUCUUAAGGCUUAGCGGCCGCUAUUUAAAAUACUUGUUUUCAUUGUCACUAGACUCAUUUGAAACCUCGAUGACAACUUUAUAGGUAUUCAGUCACAAUGCCAUUCAUGGUAGAAGAUUCUCAAAAUCCAGUUUCGUCCUUAGAAAAAGAUUCUCCGAAGUCAAUAAACACAUCCAUGUCAUGUCAGGUUCUCCAUUCUAAACUACUUGUCGUCUUGUUCCUAUGAUGGCACCAUGGGGAGAGCACAAAAAAGAGGAGAGCACAAUGGGGCCAAAUUGGCUUGAACUUCCUAGAGACAUCACAACAAACAUUUUCAAAGACUUGGUACCAUUGAGAUUGUGACAAGUGCAUGUCAAGUGUGUCCUCUAUGGUGGAACAUUUGCAAGGAUCCUCUUAUAUGGCACACUAUUUACAUGAGAGUCAACAACCGUCAUCCCUACAAUAAUAUGGAUUUGGUAAAGAUUUGUCGUUAUGCUGUUGAACGAAGUUGCGGUCACUUGGAAGACAUUGAGAUCGUGUCUUUUUGCAAUGGUGAUCUCCUUCAAACCAUAGUGAGUUGGUUCAUACGAACUUCAAAACAAAAUGUAACAAAUCAGGCUUAUGUGGAAGGUUCGAUUUGGAAAGACUAUAUACUAGAGGUGGUGUCUACAUUAGCUUCCUAUUAUCAUCCCCCGAUAUUCCAUCGAGGAGAACAAGAGUUCCGCAUAACGAUGAUGGAGGAGAAGAUUUUCUAGUGAAUCCUACAUUGUCAAUCUUUAACUAUCUGGGUCGUUCGUUUGGAAAACAUACCAAUUCUACUUUGAGUGUUAGGGAAAUGAAAGCUAGACACAUUUAUGGAAAUGUUAUCUCAAGGUCAGCUACAUCCACAUCCACCUCCACCUCCACCUCCACAUCCACCUCCAUUUACUUGAUAUAUAGCAUAUGGUUAUUUUGAUAGUUUGGCUGCAAACUUAGUUUCAAGAACAAUGUGCUACUUCUAGUACCAUUAAAAAUGUUGAAAAGUGUUUCUUAUGAAGCUUAUUUCGAGUGUUUCCUUAUGACUCUUAUGUAUUUUAAGAGUGUUGAACAAUAGUUGUAAACUUAUUGAGAGUUUCCUUAUGACUUUUGAUGCUUAUGAAGGCAAAUUAUAAAGUGUUUUUUAUUGUGUA
Medicago truncatula (barrel medic) is the source of this 1186-nucleotide long non-coding RNA. RefSeq lists it as uncharacterized. The transcript is spliced from 3 exons. The record is from RefSeq and is a predicted model, not a curated record. Lineage: Eukaryota; Viridiplantae; Streptophyta; Magnoliopsida; Fabales; Fabaceae.